CCGCGAUAAACCUGCAAGAACACCCCGCCUGCCGACCUCUACGAGAUUCACCUGAUUAGGGCGCCACGGGUGUAGCGGGUGGAUCAAAUGGUCGACUUCAUCGGUUCGGGCACUCCCCUAUUCCGUGGCGGCGGCGGAAGGUGGAGGCGGUACCGGUGCGGCGGCAGCAGGUGGAGGCGGUACCGGUGCGGCGGCAGCAGGUGGAGGCGGUACCGGCCGGAUCGCGGUGGCAGGUGAAGGGGGUACCAUUGGGAUCAAGGGGGGAAGUAGAGGUGGUACCUGCGGCGACGGAAGAAGGAGUUACAGGCGUUCUCCGGGUAGCUGGUUCUUGGUUUUAGUUCUAGGUUCACCUCUUGUCAGUUUCUUCUUCGACAUCGUUAGAGGUUUUUAGGGUUCACGACGCUAGAUGAUCAGGUGAUCAACUAUUCGGAUGUUUGGCAGCUCUGAAACUAACGGAUGUUUUGACCGAGUCUUGUCGGCUGGAUCUUUCUACGUUUCCACACAGUAAUCUCGGCCUCCCUCUUCUAGUUCUAAAAUCAGUCGACUCAACUUCUUCGUUCAUUCGGACUUCUUUACCUGUCUAACUGUAAAUAUGUAGUCCUUCUAUACUUGUUCGUUAGAACAACACUUGGUCUUUGUCCAUCUUCCACUAUUCCACCCGCAGCCUCACUUUUCCUCGAGUCCGACUUCCUAACUAGAUUAAUGACCAAUACAACUCGUUUGACUUAAAAUCAGAUUAAACAUGGACCUACGAACAUUGAACACAACAAGGUCUUUAUUUGACUUGAACAGAUAUUUUUACAGACUUACAGUUAAACGGCACAAAACAGACUC
This 834-nucleotide ribosomal RNA is filed under the name Triticum aestivum (bread wheat). RNAcentral's name for it is "partial small subunit ribosomal RNA". Lineage: Eukaryota; Viridiplantae; Streptophyta; Magnoliopsida; Poales; Poaceae. The record is from RNAcentral.